AGCCUUUGGGUCAAGAUGACAGCACAAGAUACAGGAGUCUGGCGGUCCACUGGUGGCUUUGCAGUAUUUUUUGGUCCCAAUUUAAUUUCAUGGAGUGCAAGAAAACAAGCAACUGUCUCUCGAUCCAGUACAGAGGCAGAAUACAAAGCAUUGGCAAAUGCAACAGUUGAGAUCAUAUGGGUGCAAUCACUGCCGAAGGAACUUGGUGUAAAAAGUACUCAAGCUCCAUGUUUAUGGUGUGAUAAUCUGGGUGCCACAUACCUAUCUGCCAAUCCAGUCUUUCAUGCCAGAAUUAAACACAUUGAAAUUGAUUUUCACUUUGUCAGAGAACGAGUGGCUCAGAAGAAACUUGACAUACGUUUUGUGCAUUCCAAG
RNAcentral lists this ribosomal RNA (375 nucleotides) under Triticum aestivum (bread wheat). RNAcentral's name for it is "partial small subunit ribosomal RNA". Lineage: Eukaryota; Viridiplantae; Streptophyta; Magnoliopsida; Poales; Poaceae. The record is from RNAcentral.